This 406-nucleotide ribosomal RNA is filed under the name uncultured bacterium. RNAcentral describes it as "partial 16S ribosomal RNA". It matches the Rfam family "Bacterial small subunit ribosomal RNA", at positions 30 to 526 of the family's 1533-position model. The record is from RNAcentral.
AUUGAACGCUGGCGGCAGGCCUAACACAUGCAAGUCGAGCGAGCGGCGGACGGGUGCGUAAUGUCUGGGAAACUGCCUGAUGGAGGGGGAUAACUACUGGAAACGGUAGCUAAUACCGCAUACCAUCAGAUGUGCCCAGAUGGGAUUAGCUAGUAGGUGGGGUAACGACUCACCUAGGCGACGAUCCCUAGCUGGUCUGAUAGGAUGACCAGCCACACGGGAACUGAGAAACGGUCCAGAGUCCGACGGGAGGCAGCAGUGGGGAAUAUUGCACAAUGGGCGCAAGCCUGAUGCAGCCAUGCCGCGUGUGUGAAGAAGGCCUUCGGGUUGUAAAGCACUUUCAGCGGGGAAGCGUUACCCGCAGAAGAAGCACCGGCUAACUCCGUGCCAGCCGCCGCGGUAAUUC